UACGUAGGGGGCGAGCGUUGUCCGGAGUUACUGGGCGUAAAGCGCACGCAGGCGGUCUGCUAAGUUUGGAGUGACAGUUGGUGGCUUAACUGCCAAAGUGCUUCGAAAACUGACAGACUUGAGGGCUUCAGAGGGAUACGGAAUUCCGGGUGGAGUGGUGAAAUGCGUAGAGAUCCGGAGGAACACCGACGGCGAAGGCAGCGCCCUGGACGAGACCUGACGCUCAGGCACGAAAGCUGGGGGAGCAAACAGG
Molecule: ribosomal RNA, 253 nt
Filed under: uncultured bacterium
Lineage: Bacteria
Description: partial 16S ribosomal RNA
Rfam family: Bacterial small subunit ribosomal RNA
Source: RNAcentral